GAAGUUCUAUAGUAUUUUAGUAGAAAUAUCUGUCGGACAGUUGGAGUUGGUUCGAGAUUAGGCCGGAAAUCGUCAAGGUGUCAUGGUUGCCAAGUGGAAGCAGCACACGCUCGGCCAUAGAGAGGAGAGAGUUUGUUUUGCAACAAUUUGAAAGAUUCAACAAAAAAGAAAAGUAAGUGUAAUUACAGGAUGGACAUACACUUAAAGCCACAUACCCACGAAGAAACAUAUAUAUCAAUGUUUACAUUUUGAGCUUUUUAAAGUUUUCAAACUUGAUUGAUGUGAAUCAGAAACUGAAAGAAAAUGUGUAUUUAUGAAAGUAUACGGGGAAUUCCCCAAAAUAAUAACUGUGGCUGUUGGACCACGUUUCUCUGAAAAUUAACCCCACAAUGCACGGCGGGUUUUACAGUCCAUACAAAAUGGCGGAACGCCGCAAGCGUGGAACUGCAAAAACGCUGACAGAUUCUGCCAAAAAAA
Molecule: long non-coding RNA, 477 nt
Organism: Pecten maximus
Lineage: Eukaryota; Metazoa; Mollusca; Bivalvia; Pectinida; Pectinidae
Exons: 2
Source: RefSeq, a predicted model, not a curated record